CAGCGCAGGAAAUUAAGCCCCUCUCCCUCCCCCGCUUCCAUUCCCCAGUGCGAUCCACUUCCAUUUAGUACCGCCCCCUACUCUCCAGCCGGUAAAGUGGAUGUGGCCAGCACAAGAAAAUAAGCUCCGCCUUCCGCAAUCUGCGUCUGUAGAGAGCCCGGAAGAGAAGCAAAUUAUCUCGUUGGCGCGUUGACCUGAGGAGUGGCACGACCUUUGAACUCUCUGCGGGCCGGCUCCACUUCCCAUGUUCCCAGGUCUACCACGGUCUCACCUGCCCAUCCACAACCUAACAGCACUCACUGCACGCAGUCGCUCUGAAGUCACUCCCUAAUAACUUUAAUGGAGAUUCCCUCUCGUACCCCACUGUGGCAUGACUGGGGGCCUGCCAGCAAUUCAUUUGCAAUGCUCCAUUGGCAAGGCCGAGGUAGACUGUAUGAACAAUUGGAGGGAUCUGCAAAAGUUGUACAGGUGCUGCGUUUUCAAUUAUCAUGCUUCUUGGGAAUUGUGAAGACAUAACCACUACUGUGUAACAACAACACCUACAACAACAAUUUACGUCCUUUAAUAUUAUGUUUAUUUUGA
This is a long non-coding RNA of Xenopus laevis (African clawed frog), 582 nucleotides long. RefSeq lists it as uncharacterized. Lineage: Eukaryota; Metazoa; Chordata; Amphibia; Anura; Pipidae. The transcript has 2 exons. The record is from RefSeq and is a predicted model, not a curated record.